GUACACUCCUACGGGAGGCAGCAGUGGGGAAUAUUGCACAAUGGGCGCAAGCCUGAUGCAGCCAUGCCGCGUGUGUGAAGAAGGCCUUCGGGUUGUAAAGCACUUUCAGCGGGGAGGAAGGCGAUACGGUUAAUAACCGUGUUGAUUGACGUUACCCGCAGAAGAAGCACCGGCUAACUCCGUGCCAGCAGCCGCGGUAAUACGGAGGGUGCAAGCGUUAAUCGGAAUUACUGGGCGUAAAGCGCACGCAGGCGGUCUGUCAAGUCGGAUGUGAAAUCCCCGGGCUCAACCUGGGAACUGCAUUCGAAACUGGCAGGCUUGAGUCUUGUAGAGGGGGGUAGAAUUCCAGGUGUAGCGGUGAAAUGCGUAGAGAUCUGGAGGAAUACCGGUGGCGAAGGCGGCCCCCUGGACAAAGACUGACGCUCAGGUGCGAAAGCGUGGGGAGCAAACAGGAUUAGAUACCCUUGUAGUCCC
Molecule: ribosomal RNA, 474 nt
Filed under: uncultured organism
Description: partial 16S ribosomal RNA
Rfam family: Bacterial small subunit ribosomal RNA
Source: RNAcentral